UCAGGAGAGAACUGGGCAAUGAAAGCGCUCUCUGCGAAGGACAGGUUCCAGGACAGGCUCUCAUGCCGCCCCUCGCCUCUUCCAGAUGGCAGCCGCUUGGAGCACUGUCUCGCCUUCCAAAAAUGAAUAUCUACUUCCAUUUUCCUGGCCCACCCGUGUCCUAUUGUGGAGAAAAGUGCUUCUCUCUGCUCUCAGAAGGGCCGUCAGCUGCCUGAGAUUCAGAUUACAGAUGCCACAUCACCAGCCCCCAAAGCACCAGCCUGGGACCUUUGUCCAUCAUCCAUGUCACCCAGUCAUCGGGUAGAAGGAAAAAGACAAGCAUAUUUGCCAAUUUAUCCAAGUCUUCU
RNAcentral lists this long non-coding RNA (347 nucleotides) under Bos indicus x Bos taurus (hybrid cattle). RNAcentral describes it as "lncRNA (ENSBIXG00000021531.1)". The record is from RNAcentral. Lineage: Eukaryota; Metazoa; Chordata; Mammalia; Artiodactyla; Bovidae.